This 253-nucleotide ribosomal RNA is filed under the name uncultured bacterium. RNAcentral's name for it is "partial 16S ribosomal RNA". It matches the Rfam family "Bacterial small subunit ribosomal RNA", at positions 524 to 776 of the family's 1533-position model. The record is from RNAcentral.
UACGUAGGGAGAAAGCGUUAAUCGGAAUUACUGGGCGUAAAGCGUGCGCAGGCGGUUCCAUAAGACAGAUGUGAAAUCCCCGGGCUCAACCUGGGAACUGCAUUUGUGACUGUGGGGCUAGAGUACUGUAGAGGGGGAUGGAAUUCCGCGUGUAGCAGUGAAAUGCGUAGAUAUGCGGAGGAACACCAAUGGCGAAGGCAAUCCCCUGGACCUGUACUGACGCUCAUGCACGAAAGCGUGGGGAUCAAACAGG